AGCAGCCGCGGUAAUUCCAGCUCCAAUAGCGUAUAUUAAAGUUGUUGCAGUUAAAAAGCUCGUAGUUGAAUUUCGGGGUCAGUAGGUUGGUCGUGCCACUGGUAUGCACUGGUCUCACUGAUUCCUCCUUCCUGAUGAACCGUAAUGCCAUUAAUUUGGUGUUGCGGGGAAUCUGGACUGUUACUUUAGAAAAAAUUAGAGUGUUUAAAGCAGGCUAACGCUUGAAUACAUUAGCAUGGAAUAAUGAAAUAGGACGGUCGAUCCUAUUUUGUUGGUUUCUAGGAUUGACGUAAUGAUUAAUAGGGAUAGUUGGGGGCAUUAGUAUUCAAUUGUCAGAGGUGAAAUUCUUGGAUUUAUUGAAGACUAACUACUGCGAAAGCAUUUGCCAAGGAUGUUUUCAUUAGUCAAGAACGAAAGUUAGGGGAUCGAAGACGAUCAGAUACCGUCGUAGUCUUAACCAUAAACUAUGCCGACUAGGGAUCGGAUGAUGUUAAUUUUUUAAUGACUCAUUCGGCGUACC
RNAcentral lists this ribosomal RNA (520 nucleotides) under uncultured Glomus. Its description in RNAcentral is "SSU rRNA". It matches the Rfam family "Eukaryotic small subunit ribosomal RNA", at positions 569 to 1087 of the family's 1831-position model. Lineage: Eukaryota; Fungi; Glomeromycota; Glomeromycetes; Glomerales; Glomeraceae. The record is from RNAcentral.